RNAcentral lists this ribosomal RNA (497 nucleotides) under uncultured bacterium. Its description in RNAcentral is "partial 16S ribosomal RNA". It matches the Rfam family "Bacterial small subunit ribosomal RNA", at positions 28 to 507 of the family's 1533-position model. The record is from RNAcentral.
GAUGAACGCUGGCGGCGUGCCUAAUACAUGCAAGUCGAGCGAACAGACGAGGAGCUUGCUCCUCUGACGUUAGCGGCGGACGGGUGAGUAACACGUGGAUAACCUACCUAUAAGACUGGGAUAACUUCGGGAAACCGGAGCUAAUACCGGAUAAUAUAUUUAACCGCAUGGUUCAAUAGUGAAAGACGGUUUUGCUGUCACUUAUAGAUGGAUCCGCGCCGCAUUAGCUAGUUGGUAAGGUAACGGCUUACCAAGGCGACGAUGCGUAGCCGACCUGAGAGGGUGAUCGGCCACACUGGAACUGAGACACGGUCCAGACUCCUACGGGAGGCAGCAGUAGGGAAUCUUCCGCAAUGGGCGAAAGCCUGCCGGAGCAACGCCGCGUGAGUGAUGAAGGUCUUCGGAUCGUAAAACUCUGUUAUUAGGGAAGAACAAAUGUGUAAGUAACUAUGCACGUCUUGACGGUACCUAAUCAGAAAGCCACGGCUAACUACGUG